UGUGGUGUUAAGGCGCRUGCCUUUGAGCUGCUCGUCUACUCGAAGUCCAACUCCGAUUAUGGCAUUGGAUUUGUUCCAUAGAGGGUGAUAGACCCGUACGAGUAKACACUGCCUGCAUGAGGGUAGCUCUUAGAUGCAYGUGCUUUGGAGUCSGAUUGCUUGAGAAUGCAKUCCAAAGUGGGUGGUAAACUCCAUCCAAGGCUAAAUACUGGCACGAGUCCGAUAGUAAACAAGUACCGUGAGGGAAAGUUGAAAAGUACUCUGAAGARAGAGUAAAUAGUACGUGAAGCCGCAUGUAGAGAAGCUGGUGGAGUCAAGCUCCAUGCUCGAGUGAUUAAUACUUGGAGAGUKGUAUUGUUUGAAGUGUCCUAAGGGCGUGCUUUCUGGAAAUGUUUUGGUGGGGGAAGCCCUGCUGCAAGCGUUCUGGUUUGUGUGCUUGCCUCGUCCURUCGGYGCUCUCUCUAAUAUUCUAUCACCGRGCAGCCACCACGGUUGAUAUCUUCUCAGUGCGUGACUGUUAAACUAUGCCCAUGUGGAUCWCUGGUCUGCUGGGCAUGGGAUGGCAGAAGAUGCCUGCGAGUAACCCUCGUGAGCAUUUACACUGGUCUCUACCAGCCAAUGGUCACGCUUUGUGCUUUACUGUUGAAGUUAUCAUGUAUGCUUUGGUGAUCGUCUCCUAAUCUCCAUUGGUAGCGGUCAUUGAGAAUCGUGGUGUUGGAGUAGAUUUUCCACCCGACCCGUCUUGAAACACGGACCAAGGAGUUUAACAUGUGUGCAAGUCAAUGGGCUUUUUCGAAACCCAGAGGCGCAAUGAAAGUGAAUGGUUGCUUCUCGUAACCUGAGGUGUGAUCCUGGUCGACCCCUGCAARGGCGNSCGGGCGCAACACCGGCCCGUCUCAGGAUGUAGUCACUUGGGCUGCUUGCAGCYGCGAGUGCAUCAUCGAGGCGGAGCAAGAGCAUACWUGUUGAGACCCGAAAGAUGGUGAACUAUGCUUGCGUAGGUCGAAGCCAGAGGAAACUCUGGUGGAGGACCGUCGCGGUUUUGACGUGCAAAUCGAUCGUCAAACGUGAGUAUAGGGGCGAAAGACUAAUCGAACCAUCUAGUAGCUGGUUCCCUCCGAAGUUUCCCUCAGGAUAGCUGGCAACCGAAUCGCUAAACAGUUUUAUCCGAUAAAGCGAAUGAUUAGAGGUAUUGGGGACUAAUUGUCCUCAACCUAUUCUCAAACUAUAAAUGGGUACGAUGCUGGACUCGCUUAAUUGGAGUCUAGCAUUGAAUGUGGUUGCCAAGUGGGCCAUUUUUGGUAAGCAGAACUGGCGCUGUGGGAUGCUCCGAACGUGCAGUUAAGGUGCCCAAUGCRGACGCUCAUGAGACACC
This 1375-nucleotide ribosomal RNA is filed under the name Urocleidoides parodoni. RNAcentral describes it as "Urocleidoides sp. p AAA-2021 partial large subunit ribosomal RNA". The record is from RNAcentral. Lineage: Eukaryota; Metazoa; Platyhelminthes; Monogenea; Dactylogyridea; Dactylogyridae.